UACGGAGGGUGCAAGCGUUUUUCGGAAUUACUGGGCUUAAAGAGCACGUAGGCGGCCUCGUAAGUGACUGGUGAAAUCGCUCGGCUCAACCGUAGAACUGCCCUGGAAACUGCUUGGCUUGAGUGUGGCAGAGGUUACUGGAACUUGAGGUGUAGCGGUGAAAUGCUUAGAUAUCUAGAGGAACGCCGGAGGCGAAAGCAGAUGACUAGGUCGUAACUGACGCUGAGGCGCGAAAGCGUGGGGAGCAAACAGG
This 253-nucleotide ribosomal RNA is filed under the name uncultured bacterium. RNAcentral describes it as "partial 16S ribosomal RNA". It matches the Rfam family "Bacterial small subunit ribosomal RNA", at positions 524 to 776 of the family's 1533-position model. The record is from RNAcentral.